AGGUGCUCAAUCAUUUCAUAAGCAACCAUGUCCUCAUGUUGCUUCUGAAGCUCAGGAUUCAUAGUGGCAAGCAUAAGACAUCCAACGUCUACCAUGUCAUCGAGAUGCUUCUUGUAAGCAUCUCUAUCAGCCCUCGAGGCAUUAGCGGGUGGUUCGUUAGGAACCGGUUGUUCAAUGACAUAUAAUUUUCGUUCUUGUUUGAGGACAAUCCUUAAGUUACGGAACCAGUCAAGGAAAUUUAAACCAUUCAAUUUGUCAUUCUCAAGGACCGAUCGCAAUGAGAGUGUAUUAGUG
RNAcentral lists this long non-coding RNA (294 nucleotides) under Gossypium barbadense (sea-island cotton). RNAcentral's name for it is "long non-coding RNA (GBAR_LNC022260)". The record is from RNAcentral. Lineage: Eukaryota; Viridiplantae; Streptophyta; Magnoliopsida; Malvales; Malvaceae.